ACAUGACCCUAGAUAGGAAGGUCUGGAAGACGCGAAUUACGGCAGAAGAGUAGGGCCAGAUUGGGUCGCUAGUGUUGGGAAUUACUUGGUGGGGGUUUUUAUUUUUUAUUCCUGUUAUGAUUCCGUAUUCAGUGUUCCAUGCUUAUUACGAAUCUGUGUGCUUUCCUCUGCUUUCCUCUGUUUUAUAUUCCGUAUGGGUGCCGUAUUUAUGUUAUGUCAUCUGCUUCUGUGCUUUACUACGUGUUUGUGUGAUAUCUUGUGCCUGAGCCGGGGGUCUUUCGGAAACAGCCUUUCUACUUCAUCAGAGGUAGAGGUAUGGACUGCGUACAUCUUACCCCCCCCAAACCCCACUAAGUGGGAAUACACUGGGUUUGUUGUUGUUGUUGUUGUAUGUAUGUCUUUUUCUUCCCC
Molecule: long non-coding RNA, 411 nt
Filed under: Capsicum annuum
Lineage: Eukaryota; Viridiplantae; Streptophyta; Magnoliopsida; Solanales; Solanaceae
Description: long non-coding RNA (CANN_LNC015154)
Source: RNAcentral